UACGGGGGGGGCAAGCGUUGUUCGGAAUUACUGGGCGUAAAGGGCUCGUAGGCGGCCAACUAAGUCAGACGUGAAAUCCCCAGGCUCAACCUGGGAACUGCGUCUGAUACUGGAUGGCUUGAAUUCGGGAGAGGGAUGCAGAAUUCCAGGUGUAGCGGUGAAAUGCGUAGAUAUCUGGAGGAAUACCUGCGGCGAAGGCGGGUUGCUGGGCUGAUACUGACGCUGAGGCGCGAAAGCCAGGGGAGCGAACGGG
This 253-nucleotide ribosomal RNA is filed under the name uncultured bacterium. RNAcentral describes it as "partial 16S ribosomal RNA". It matches the Rfam family "Bacterial small subunit ribosomal RNA", at positions 524 to 776 of the family's 1533-position model. The record is from RNAcentral.